RNAcentral lists this long non-coding RNA (2919 nucleotides) under Pavo cristatus (Indian peafowl). RNAcentral's name for it is "lncRNA (ENSPSTG00000016205.1)". Lineage: Eukaryota; Metazoa; Chordata; Aves; Galliformes; Phasianidae. The record is from RNAcentral.
UUUUUUUAAUUAUUAUUAUUUUGGUAAUGAAAAGGACGCUAGAAUUACAAUUCUGAUGCUAACAGUGCUAACACUGAAAGCUGCUGGGCAGAAGUGGGGAGCUCUGGGUAGAAUAAAGGCUUGAACUGAAGUCAGCAAUAACCUCUUUCCCCCCCUUCCCUGUCUCUCAGCCCGCACAAUCUGCUUGGCUCUCUUUAUCUCAAUAAGCAUUUAAACGGUUUCAAAUUAGAUCUCUGGAAAAUGGAACUUCAUUCCUUCAGAACUUCAGUCUGGCCUUUAAAAGCCAGCAAUAAUGUUUUGGUUUUGUAUGAGAGCAUCUUUGAUCUCAGAGGCUCGCAGCUGCGGGAGCGCAGCUCAGCACCAGCAGCUCUCUGCCAUUGGUAUGCAGCUGUAAGGGGAGAGACGCAGGCAGGGGCUCAUCUGGGGAUGGUCAGCCCUGGUCCUGUGCUCAUCCCGAAGCAAAUCUGCCUCCUCUGACACCCUCCUUGGGAACCCAGCACCCCCCCAGUCACAGUAACAGCACAAUAGAGCUGGAUGAGCUGUCACAGUCCCCUGUGAGCAGCAGGCUGGGGGCUGCAGAGUGUUAGGAAUUGGCAAUGAUGGGCUGUAAUGGCCCUUAGCAGCCUCAGCUGUGCCCUCAUUCAUGGGCCUGGGGCUCUAUUUAAGCUCAGACCGGUAGCAUUACAUGGAGCUUUGCUGAUGGUCUGGGUGCUUGGCUGGAGUUUUCUGUAACCUCUGGUUUGCCAUGCUGGAGAGCAGAGGGAUGGGGUCCUGGCUGGUGGGACCCUGCCCUACAGCUGUGGUGUCCUCGCUGUCCCCCAGUGCAAGGAGUGGGAGAAGGACUUUCCCUUUUAAUAGUGGAAAAAAGAGGAAGGGAGAACAGACAGAACGAAGAGGAAGUGAGAAUUCCCACCAGCAGGACAAAGCCUUCAAAACAACUGUAAGCAAAACAAUGGUCCAAAAUAGCGGGGAUGGGAUCUUGUGCAGCUUAUCAAACAUCGCUGCCUUUUUUCCACCCGCUCUGCAUCUCAGUGCCCAUGACCCUGCAGGCAAUUAGAUAACAUGGGUGACUCCAGGGCACAUGUGGAUGAGCAGGGAGCUAGGAAUGCAAACACGCACUGAGCAAAUCCCUCCUGAACUGAGCACUGCCGUGCCACGUACAGGGAAUGGCAGGUGCCACGGCACUGCAGGGCUCGCAUAUUGGAUUAUGCCCAUCUUGUUAUGUUUUAUAGAUUGCUAAACUGUGAUCUGGGAAAGGACCAGCACCAUGGUGUCGCUGCUGGCCACCUCACAAGAGCUCCUGUGUUUGUUGGGAUGCACAGCGCUGUCUUGCAGUGCUGUAGCUGUGCAGCAAGCACAUGGCUGGAGCCGGGAUGCCUUUGUUCAGUUCCUAGCACAGGGAUCUCUUUAAUGCUCUCUAUGACCUUGAGCGAGUAACUUCACCAUGCUUAAAAGUACUUUCCUGCAAACAAGGAAUAUAAACCUCAGUGCAUCAAGAGAGUGGCAGUGCAGUGUGUAAGGGAGUUGGUUUCAGCUUGGCAAAGGGCUUUUACAGUCAUGAACUGCCACACAUCACUGUUCAGCAUCCCGCUGGGAUGAGGGUGCUGGUGCUGCCCCAUUGGGCACAGGCAGGGUACAGCCACUGAGUGGCCUAACAGUGCGCAGAGCUCUGGGUCUUCAGACGUUUUCCACGAGGGAAGCAGGUUCAGCAAAACCUGAUGUAGCGCAGGGUGCUUCUGCUACCCCUCACUUGUUUGCGUUGGUUGGUUGUUUUUUCACUGGCAAUGCUACCUGGGGGAGACUGGGAGGGAACUGAGCUGCGGAGGCUCAUGACAGAGGAUGCAGGCUCACCUUACAGAAAGACACGAGAGAAAAGUGGCAAAACAAAAGCUAAAAGGGCAGUGCAAGGAGAGCGGUGUAUGGAAGCAUCUGAGGGUGUGCACCACAGGAGAUGAUGAGCUACUUAAAUUGUUGGCACAAGCCCAUCAGGGCGUUCGUUUCCUGCGAUGAUGCACAGGCUGGAAAGAAAAAGUAGCUUUUAAGCAGCAGAGGAGUAAGGGCCUGGAAGAGCUUCUCAGCAGGAGCCCAGUGUGCUGAGAAUACACAAACUGUUCUCAGGCAGCGCUCAAACCCCUUCAGUGGGGUUUUACACUAUGACACCCACUGUAAGGUGACCUGGGAGGCUCCUGCAGCUGGGGCUGGUGUCACUGCAGGGCCAGCCGUUCUGCUGGGUGUGUGCUCUGCGGAUAAAUGGGUAAACAGCCCUUGUUACGCUUAUUCAUUCCGCCCGUGUACACAACCUGCUUGUCAUCAGCCGGGAGGCCUCUCUGGGAGGUGCCUUUCCCCAGCACUGCGUUUGGUGUUUGCUGUGGAAUAAAGAAAUAGCAAUUUAUUAUUAUUUUUUUUACAGACUUUCUCAAAUGGAAUCAUGCAGCAAAAGUAGUGCCAAGGGGGAUGUACACAGAGGGCGAUGUGGGGUGCUGGCCUGCUGCUUGCCCCCCAGCUCCCUAGGCUUGCCUCCCAGCCUUGGUCCCAUGUCGUGUGCCUGUAUGCUUCUCACCAGACACUUAAAGUAAUUGGGGAUAUAAAAAAAAUAAAGAGGGGGAGAAGUGACAGCUGGGCAGGGAGAAUUACAGUGAGAUCAGAUUAGAGGUAGCGCUGGGAGGCAAAAUGGAGCCGGGCCUGGGCUGGGCAGCUGGCUCCAUCCCUCACAGCCCAGCCCCAUAGUUGGGUCUUUUCUUCACAGCCUGAACCUAUAGCUGUGACUUUCCCUCACAGCCUGAACCUGUAACUGGGUCUGUAACACUGCCUGGCCCCAUAACUGUCUCCUUUCCCCACAGCCUGGCUUCACAGCUGUGUCCUUCCCUCACAGCCUGAACCUAUAGCUGGCUUCUUCCCUCAGCUGUGUCCCAUAACUGG